This 712-nucleotide ribosomal RNA is filed under the name uncultured Actinomycetes bacterium. Its description in RNAcentral is "bacterial SSU rRNA". It matches the Rfam family "Bacterial small subunit ribosomal RNA", at positions 52 to 779 of the family's 1533-position model. The record is from RNAcentral. Lineage: Bacteria; Bacillati; Actinomycetota; Actinomycetes.
CACAUGCAGUCGAACGAUGAUGCCAGCUUGCUGGUGGAUUAGUGGCGAACGGGUGAGUAACACGUGAGUAACCUGCCCUUAACUCUGGGAUAAGCCUGGGAAACUGGGUCUAAUACCGGAUAUGACUCCUCAUCGCAUGGUGGGGGGUGGAAAGCUUUUUGUGGUUUUGGAUGGACUCGCGGCCUAUCAGCUUGUUGGUGAGGUAAUGGCUCACCAAGGCGACGACGGGUAGCCGGCCUGAGAGGGUGACCGGCCACACUGGGACUGAGACACGGCCCAGACUCCUACGGGAGGCAGCAGUGGGGAAUAUUGCACAAUGGGCGCAAGCCUGAUGCAGCGACGCCGCGUGAGGGAUGACGGCCUUCGGGUUGUAAACCUCUUUCAGUAGGGAAGAAGCGAAAGUGACGGUACCUGCAGAAGAAGCGCCGGCUAACUACGUGCCAGCAGCCGCGGUAAUACGUAGGGCGCAAGCGUUAUCCGGAAUUAUUGGGCGUAAAGAGCUCGUAGGCGGUUUGUCGCGUCUGCCGUGAAAGUCCGGGGCUCAACUCCGGAUCUGCGGUGGGUACGGGCAGACUAGAGUGAUGUAGGGGAGACUGGAAUUCCUGGUGUAGCGGUGAAAUGCGCAGAUAUCAGGAGGAACACCGAUGGCGAAGGCAGGUCUCUGGGCAUUAACUGACGCUGAGGAGCGAAAGCAUGGGGAGCGAACAGGAUU